GCCGACGUAGCUCAGGUGGUCAGAGCGCUCCGCUCAUAACGGAGAGGUUCGGGGUUCGAGGCCCCGCGUCGGCA
Molecule: transfer RNA, 74 nt
Filed under: Micromonospora sp. WMMD812
Lineage: Bacteria; Bacillati; Actinomycetota; Actinomycetes; Micromonosporales; Micromonosporaceae
Description: tRNA-Met
Rfam family: tRNA
About the family: Transfer RNA (tRNA) molecules are approximately 80 nucleotides in length. Their secondary structure includes four short double-helical elements and three loops (D, anti-codon, and T loops). Further hydrogen bonds mediate the characteristic L-shaped molecular structure. tRNAs have two regions of fundamental functional importance: the anti-codon, which is responsible for specific mRNA codon recognition, and the 3' end, to which the tRNAs corresponding amino acid is attached (by aminoacyl-tRNA synthetases). tRNAs cope with the degeneracy of the genetic code in two manners: having more than one tRNA (with a specific anti-codon) for a particular amino acid; and 'wobble' base-pairing, i.e. permitting non-standard base-pairing at the 3rd anti-codon position.
Source: RNAcentral